RNAcentral lists this ribosomal RNA (486 nucleotides) under uncultured bacterium. RNAcentral's name for it is "partial 16S ribosomal RNA". It matches the Rfam family "Bacterial small subunit ribosomal RNA", at positions 30 to 507 of the family's 1533-position model. The record is from RNAcentral.
AUUGAACGCUGGCGGCAUGCCUUACACAUGCAAGUCGAACGGCAGCACGGGUGCUUGCACCUGGUGGCGAGUGGCGAACGGGUGAGUAAUACAUCGGAACAUGUCCUGUAGUGGGGGAUAGCCCGGCGAAAGCCGGAUUAAUACCGCAUACGAUCUACGGAUGAAAGCGGGGGACCUUCGGGCCUCGCGCUAUAGGGUUGGCCGAUGGCUGAUUAGCUAGUUGGUGGGGUAAAGGCCUACCGAGGCGACGAUCAGUAGCUGGUCUGAGAGGACGACCAGCCACACUGGGACUGAGACACGGCCCAGACUCCUACGGGAGGCAGCAGUGGGGAAUUUUGGACAAUGGGCGAAAGCCUGAUCCAGCAAUGCCGCGUGUGUGAAGAAGGCCUUCGGGUUGUAAAGCACUUUUGUCCGGAAAGAAAUCCUUGGCCCUAAUACGGUCGGGGGAUGACGGUACCGGAAGAAUAAGCACCGGCUAACUACGUG